GCCUUCGGGCUUGAUGGUAGAGCCCUUGGCGCGUAACCGAGAGAUCUGGGUUCGAUUCCCAGUCUGGGCU
Molecule: transfer RNA, 70 nt
Filed under: Cotesia glomerata
Lineage: Eukaryota; Metazoa; Arthropoda; Insecta; Hymenoptera; Braconidae
Description: tRNA-Thr
Source: RNAcentral